UGAGGAGUUUUGGCUGAGAAAGCACUGGUGAUGGAGCCCAGGGCCUUAUGUACAAUUGGCAAGUGCUCUACCAUGGAGCUACACAGCAGACCUGAGUUAUGUGUUUUGGGGAUGAAGACUCCAGAGGCGAGGGGCCAGCACUAUCACCUUGUGUCAAGGGAACACGUACCAAUGUGACCUGUCACUGCGGAGACCUGGCAGAGGCAGCACUUGUCAGCUUUCCUCACGGAACCAUAAACUAUGCAACUUUGCUCUGCCAUAUCCUUCUACCAUGAAGUUUCGGCCUCGGAGCCAGCUGACCAUGGACUGAACCUCCUGAAAAUUUGCUGGUCCUCUCCAUCACCAUCCAGACUAUUGUGGCCACUUUCUAUGUGGGCAGCAAUUCUGUUCUGUGUGCUGCUGUAGUUCACCAUCUAGUGUCUGGCAUCAUUCAUCAGGAUAUAUUUGCGAAUGCAUGAAUAAAAUGUUCAGUCCACUUUUCGCUCCACCUCUCGCAUCCCCAUUUUGCAGGCUACUGUCGGGAUUAUUGCGUGAAAACAGAAUCCAAUUGUAUCAACAACCUACAAAUCCUCUGGUGAUUGAUCUCCACUGCCAAAAAGUCAAGACCCUCAAAAUAGUCUUUACAGGUCUUUAGAAUUUGAUCCCGAUCUGCCAUUGUGGCUCAUCUCCUGAAUGCUAAAUGCAGUCACUUAGAAAUACCAUCUCCUGGUGAUAUCAAGAGCUCCUUUUGCUGUCCCUUUGGGAUUGCCCACCUGCCACCCUGCUGGUCAGGCCAGAUGUUCCCCAUUCUUCAAACCCUAGCUCAAAUAUCACCCUCUCAUGUGACCUUCUCUUGUUAAGGCAAGAACCAUUCCAACUGAGCUCAGCACACCUUGUUCAUAUUGCUUCUGAGGCCCACCCCAUAUAUUACCUAUUAGUUGGCCUAUGUCUGUCUCUCUGGAGAGAUGGUCUCUCCCUUGACACCCCGAGGUCACAUGAGCUACAUCUUAUUCAUUUAUCUUUGAUUCCCCAGUUGUUAACAUGGAAGCAUGUGUGAAAUUUGUAAUGAGAGGUAAAAUCUACUGACUGCAUGCAAUGUGCCAGAUAUUUAACACUGCCACCUCUUUCAUCCUCAAAAUAAUUCUCAGAGGUAGGUCAUAGUAUGGUUCUUAUUUUACAACUGAGGAAACUGAGGCUCAGAGAAGUUAAAUGCUUUGCCUGGAGUUGCACAGGUAGUAGAACCAUAACACAUGUAACACUCCAGACUCAGUCCUGACUGCCUACUGGAAUGCCCAAGGAGCUGUGAAGAACCUCUGGUGUCUGAGCCUCAUUCCAGAACAGCUGGGCCACUGAGGUAAUGACCUGGGCCAUAGACAUAAAUCAAGACCCCCCAGGGCUGAGAACUCUGGUGAGAAAGAAGCAUCACCUGGAUUAUUUGUUAAGUAGAUGGAUCACUGCACUUCUCUUCCAGAACAUGCGGUUUCCAUAGAUUAGCACUGAAGCCUAGAGAUUUGUGGUUUAACUCUUGGUGAUUCUCAUUGUUUUAUUCCUUUUAUUUGUGGGGCCUUCACACCCAGCUAUAUCUUCAGUUUUUUAAAAUUUUAUUUUAUUUUUGUUUUGAGACAGGGUCUUACUAAGUCACCAAGUUGCCCAGGAUAGGUUUGAACCUGUGAUCCUCCUGCACCAGUCUCCCAGAGUGCUGGGAUUAUAGAACUGCACCAUCACACCUGACUUGUGAUUCUCAUCUUAAAGGAAGUUUGGUAAUACUGCUAAAGAGCAGGAUUGAAAGUCAUUUAAGUAGGGCUUUAGACAUUAACCUUCAGGGUCUGAUUGAAAAAUAUAGCAAAUGUUUAAAUUAAAGAUAUUUUAUCAUAGUAGAAAACACAUUGCUACUAACUGCCCUCAGAAAUACUGCCCCCCCCCCACACUUUGAACACACUUAUCCCACCAUUCUUGCUACUUUCUGAAGCAGUUCUGGAAGUCCUCUUUUGUGAGUGUCUUUAAUGGUACUUGUGGCUGCCUUGAUGUCCUGAAUGGAUUCAGAAUGUUUACCUUUCAUAAUUAUUUUGACUUUGGGGAAGAGCCAGAAGUCGCACACUGCCGGAUCCAGUGAAUAAGGUGGAUGAGGGUACACUGUAAUAUUUUCAGGAGCCUGCCUUUCCAUUGGGUGACACUGAGCAGCAGCAUUCCUCAUAAAGAUACUCACAAAAGAGGAAUUCCAGAACUGUUUCAGAAAGUGGCAAGAACAAUAAAUGUAUUUGAAGCAAGAGGAAAUGUUUCAGUGAUGUAUCUUUUAUUUUAAUACAUUUUUCUAAAAUUUAAAUAUUCAGUACACAUUUUCAUGAUACCUCCUACCUUGCCUAUCAGUGAUGGUAUGGAGACACUGGGAAGAUCUGGGGCUGUGUGCUCAUGUGGAUGAACUUUCAGACCAUGAGCAGCACAGUGAGUCCCACUGCUUCAGGGACACUAAGCUGGAAUAGCUGACAGCACCAUAGAAGCAUAUAGCUGUAAUUUGUUUCUUGAUAGUGCCUAACCCCAACAUUUCACCAGGACUUGUCUUGAGCAUUCUACAUACUGUGGCAACAAACUAGAGGAGCAGCCUUGUGGCUUCUUAAGUGUAGAAGGGGACAAUGCAGACAGGCACCAGGUAAGCUCUGGCUGAGGCCUCCCCCACCUCCUCCCUUGGGGCUUCCUGAGCUUUGCCCCACUGCAGCCCCUAUGAUGAAGCAGUUAAUGAAGCCAGACUCCUGUCACUGCCUCCAUCUCCUUCAGCAGAUUCACUGAGUGUCUGAUGGAAGGCUGGUCCUUUGCCUGUCCCUGCCUCCCAAAGGGUUGACUCUGGGCUCCUUUUGAGGAGCCUUAUCACUGGCUCUCUGAAAUCUGGCCAGCUGGUUUCUGAGUGAUUUUAUGGUCAUCAUUUGAUCAGCCCUGUUUCAUGCUUCUUAACUGCUGUGUUUACUGACCUUUCUCAAGAUUCAGAAGGAAAUGCCUCUCUUCCACAUGCAAUUCACACAGACUAAAUUCAAGAAAAGCUCUCCUUUGCUGUUCUUUUCUUUCUCCCUUUCUCAUCCCAAGAGAAGCUCUGAAUCUAUUUAUGGACAACAUUCAGGUUCUAGAACUUAUGCUGCCAGAAGAGUGUUCCUAAUGGGAAAUCUAACUGGGCCUCCCACUGACAGAGAAGACCACCCCAUCUGCAGCGAGGGACAAGGGACACUCCCAGCCCAGAUGUAAAGAAAUGCAGCAGAUUGUGGCUUGAUGUAUAUUCAUUGCUUAUUUAAUAUUUGAGCAUCUUUUUCUAAAGAUAUUUCUAUUGAACUCACUUGUGGUGUCACCAUCUGGAAAGUAUCAGGCCUCGCCCACUGAGUACUGAAGAUUGAACCCAGGACCUUUGCAUUGAACUUCAUCCCCAGCCUCCUCCAGUGCCAAGCCUGGUGCCCAGCACAGUGCAGCUCUGUUGAUCACAAUGGAGUGAGCUGAGCUGCACACGAUGACCUCUCUGGCAGGACGCUGGCGUGGAGGGAAAAGAAGCCCAGAGCAAAUUCCAGCCCUGGCCUGCAGCUCAGAUUUGACCUCCCUCUACUUUUCUCAACACUAAUCCCAGGCCCGUGUUAUGAUAAACUACUUGCUCCUUGUUCAGCAGUACAUUCAGGAACUGGACAGCCGCCAAGGAAAACACAGGGGCAGUGGUGGACUAUUGAAAUAAAUGAGUAGCCUAUGAUAAAUAUAGGAAAAACAGUGUUAGUUAAUACACUUAUGCGCCAACAAAAUCACAUACUAUUUAAUAGGGGGAGGAGUUUUAACAUGAAUGCGUAUGGCUUUAUGUAACAAGGUUGAUUUAAAAAAGAAAAGACAACAAAUAAUCUACAACCUUUUUAGCCAAGUAAAUGCUGGUUCUUCAAAGUCAGUAUUAGUGUGGUGGGAAACAUCAGUUGCCUAAAACAGCUCUAUUAUUCUUGAUGGAGGUCUUCAGAGCUGGAAUAGGAGGAAAAUUAGAUACAUUACUUGAUAAUUUAGCUUUUUGGUUUCAAGUCCCAAAUGGUAUCAACCAACUUGAUUACUGGCCUGGUUCACUAGACUUGGCUCUGAAUUAUUUUUAACAGUUUCCAGGAAUUAAAUCCACCUUAAAAACAAAACAAAACAAAACCAAAAAACCUCACACAAAUCUUGCUAUUUCUCAGGCAUGAAAAAAAGGUCUUGUAAGUUCUGGUGUUCCUAAGGGAGGUUCCCAAACUCCCUUUUUCUGAGCAGGAAAAAUCCCUUUGUUGACCUCACAGGUGAUUUCUGCAAAUGUGCAAGUUUUGAUUUCUUUGUUUGAAGAUCUGUCAUGUCAUCUUAGGCUCAGCCUUCCUCCUUAUUCACACUCUGCAGACUGUCAUCAGGUUUGGUCUGCACAAAAUAGUUGACCUGCAUCAAGGAAUUUAAAUUUUGAAUACCAGACCAGCCAUGACAUUCAGAUCAGUGGGAGACUUUGCAAAUCAAUAUGCAAACCUGAGCAGCCCACAUGGGUGUCUCCCCAACUGGCUCUCAGCAGGAGGCACAGGUUAUGCAAUAACUGAACUCAGCCUGCUUUCCUUCCAACUCAGCAUAAAUCGCUUGUGUGCAGGCGUGAUGGUGCCAAGCCCAGCAGCGAAGGCUAAUUGAGAACCUCGAUGUCUGCCUUCCUGACAGUAGAAAGCUUCGACCUGCUUCCAGGUGACAGUACACACACUUCCAGCAUGAACUCAAAACCCCAGCUGUCUCACCUGUAGAAAAUGACAUGUGCAUAUUACUUUUUUAAUAGGAUUAUUUGCAAAAGAUUAUACACAACAUAAAUCUCCAUCAAUAGGGGCCUCGACCAAUGUAUUAUGGAGUAGAAUAUAUGCAGAUGCAUAGGUAUGUGUAUGCACACAUUUGACAGUUAGUUUUAUAUGUUAUUUUGGUUGAUAUAUCCAAGGGAUGUCCAAGUGGCUAGUAAAAUGUUACUUCUGGAUUUGUCUCAGAGAGUGUUUCUGGGAGAAAAUUGCAUUUGAACUGAUGGACUGAGUAAGAACAUCUGUCCUCACCAGUGUGGGCAGGCACAUUCAAACUACUGAGGGCCUGAAUAGAACAAAAAGAUAGAUGAAGGACAAAUUUCCUUUGCUUUAGCUGGGAUACACUUCUUAUCUUGCCCUUAGACAUUCUCGGGCCUUUGGAACUGGACUGAAAGUGCCAGAUGUGGACUGGAAGUACAGCUCUUUUUUUGUUUCUUUGUUUAAGCAACAUAUUCUCUCGCAGUUCUGUAGGCUGGAAUCUAAGAUCGAGUUGUCUUCUGAGACUCCUCACCUGGGCUUGCAGAUGUGGGUCUUCUCCCUGUGUCCACACUUGCUCUUCCCUCUGUGUGCCUGUGUCCUCAACUCCUCUUUUUCUCAGGGCAGUUGUCAUUUUGGAUUAAAGCUCACUCUAAUGGCUUCAUUUUAAAGGAAGUCCCUCUUUAUAGGGCAAAUCUCCAGAGAGAGCCACAUUCUAAAGUAUGAGGUUUGGGCCAGGUAUUUAGCUCAGUGGUUCUGCCACCUGCCUCACAAGUGUAAGGUCCUGAGUUUGAUCCCCGGUAACAAAAAAAAAAUUUUUUAAUAAAAAAAAUAAAGUAUGAGGUUUAACAUCCUUUAGCUAAAAUGCUUGGGAUCAGAGGCAUUUUGAAUUUUUUUCUCAGAUUUUGGAAUAUUUACAUAUAUGUAAUUUGAUACCUUGGCGGAUAGAACUCAAAUCUAAACAAACGAAUCUGUAUCUCAUGUACAUCUUAUGCAUCCAGCCUGAAUGUAACUUUAUACAAUAUUUUCAGGGUAACUACACCUGGCCUGACCUGUCCUAUGAGGUGAGGCAUGGAGUGUUCUGCUUGUGGUAUCACAUCAGCACCCCCUAAAAAUUUCAGAGCCCUUCCUGGGCCUCUAGCUCACAGAUGGCAGGUGGUGGCACUUGUUGGCCUCCAUAAUCACACGAACCAAUCUUUCAUAAUAAACCUCUUCCUAUGUACCAUAUCUACGCAUAUCCUCUUUGUUUUUCUGAAGAAUUCUGUAAUACACAUAUAUGCAUAAGUUCCAUGUAUGCAAAUAUCUCCAAGAGAUGUUAAGUAAAAAGGAAAGUUGAAGAAUAGUAUGUGUAGUAUGCUACUAAGUUUUUCAUAUGUGUGAAAAACUCUGGAAGGAUCUUCAAGAAAUAAAUUCUGUUGGCUUGUGGGUAAAGAAGCUCAGUGGCUGAGGGACAGACGCAGAAGAAAGAUUCAGCAAUUUUAAAUACUACUUGAACUUGAAAUCAUAUGAAUGUAUAGCCCAUAAAAAUAGUUGCCUUAAAAAUAAAUGACACAUAUCAAUUGACAGAUGAGUAGAUAAAUAAAAUAUGGUAUAUGUGUAUGUGUGUGUGUGUGAUGUGUGUGUGUUCAUCCCUUUAAAAAAUGAAAUUCGUACAUGUGCUGCAACUUGGAUAAACCUUGAAGACUGUAUGCUAAGUGAAAUAAGGUGGAUGUAAAAGGAAAAACAAGGCAUGAUUUCACUUACAUGAGAUACUUAGUAGAGUCAAAUUUACAGAAACAAAGCAAAAUGGUGGUUGCCAAGGCUUGAGGAAGGCAGGAAUGAGGAGUUAUCAUUUAAUGGGUAGAGAGUAUUAGUUUUGCAAGAUCUAAAGGAUUUUGGAGAUUACAUGUACAAUAGUGUAAAUGAUUUUGUCAUUCUACACAAGGAACACCCUAGUUGCAGUCACCUAGAGGAUGUGUUAGAGCAAGGGUCCCCAAACCCCAGGGCCACAGACUGAUACUGGUCCAUAGCCUGUUAGGAACUGAAUCACACAGCGUGUGAGUGGCAGGAAGGGAGAAAGGCUUCAUCUGUAUUUACAGCCACUCCCCAUCAAUCACAUGACCACCUGAGCUUUGCCUCUUGUCAGAUCAGCAGCAGCAUUAGAUUCCCACAGGAGCACGAACCUUACUGUGAGCUGGGCAUGUGAAAGAUCUAGGUUUUUUGUUUUUUACAACAACCUAAUGCCUGAUGAUCUGAGGUGAAGCUGAGGCAGUGAUACUAGCUGAGGGAGUGCCUGCAAAUGCAGACUCCUAUUAGCAGCGAGGUUUGACUGCGCAGAGACCAUAAUAAAUCAAUUGCUUACAGAUUGAGAUCAAAAUCCAUCAGUGAGCAGCAAGUGACAAUUAAAUUGCAUCUGGUGGCAGACUUUAAGUCUGCCCACUAUCUUUGUUACUUGAGUCUCCAUUAUGGUGAGUUGUAUAAUCAUUUCACUAUAUAUUGCAAUGUAAUAAUAAUAGAAAUAAAAUGUACAAUAAAUGUAAUAAUUCUGAAACCACUCUUCCUAUCCUGGUCUGUGGAAAAAUUGUCUUUCAAAAAAACAAUUCCUGAUGCCAAAAAGGUAGGGGACUGCUGUGUUAGAGGACUUUAGGGCUCUGCUCUGCCUGGUCUUUCUGUCAGCUUUAGCAAGGCAGAUUAUCUGAUUGCUCUCUGCUUUUGUUUUUUAAUCUGAAAAAUAGAAGUAUGAUUUUCCAGUCCUGAUACUUUAAUUUCAUUAUUGAGUAUUGAUGUUCCUCCACUCAGGCUCCCAGCCCUUAUGAUAAUAUCAACCCCCAGG
RNAcentral lists this long non-coding RNA (7557 nucleotides) under Heterocephalus glaber (naked mole-rat). Its description in RNAcentral is "lncRNA (ENSHGLG00100048969.1)". The record is from RNAcentral. Lineage: Eukaryota; Metazoa; Chordata; Mammalia; Rodentia; Bathyergidae.